This 253-nucleotide ribosomal RNA is filed under the name uncultured bacterium. RNAcentral's name for it is "partial 16S ribosomal RNA". It matches the Rfam family "Bacterial small subunit ribosomal RNA", at positions 524 to 776 of the family's 1533-position model. The record is from RNAcentral.
UACGUAGGGUGCGAGCGUUAAUCGGAAUUACUGGGCGUAAAGCGUGCGCAGGCGGUUUUGUAAGCCAGAUGUGAAAUCCCCGGGCUUAACCUGGGAAUGGCAUUUGGGACUGCAAGGCUUGAGUUUGGCAGAGGAGACUGGAAUUCCUGGUGUAGCAGUGAAAUGCGUAGAUAUCUGGAGGAACACCGGUGGCGAAGGCGGCAUCCUGGACCAACACUGACACUGAGGAGCGAAAGCCAGGGGAGCAAACGGG